Molecule: long non-coding RNA, 598 nt
Organism: Melopsittacus undulatus (budgerigar)
Lineage: Eukaryota; Metazoa; Chordata; Aves; Psittaciformes; Psittaculidae
Exons: 4
Source: RefSeq, a predicted model, not a curated record
UUCGUCAGCAGUCCCUGUGCCAGUCCUACAUGUGAUGCAGCACAUGAACAUGGUGCAUGCAAUGAGUACUGAAACCACAUUUACAAUCUGCAUGUAGUCCAAGAGCUGUAAACUAUUCAUCCUUGCUGUAGAGGUCUCUUGUUUGCUGGCUGAUCUUGAAGUGGCCUUGCUAAAAGUACUCCCUGCCAUUUCUAAAGGAAAUAAAUCUACCUAAAACAUUUUGAAGCAGACAUGCUCCUCUGCUUGAAGGAUUAUUUUUUUUCAGAAAAGAGAAAGUGGUUUUCCCUGAACCUCUCAUCAUAAAGCAUGUGUUCCUGUUAGUUACAAUUUCCAAGACAGUGAAAGACCAGCAACAAGCUUCCAAUUUACCAGGUUAGAGCCUCACUCCGUUCCAGCCCUCCAGCUUUUCAACUCACUGUAACCUACAGGUGAUGCUCUGUGGAGAAGGAUGGCACAGAUGAGACGAUACAGCUUUUACAUGUCACAGUAUGAAGAAUAUAAGUAUUUCUUGAGCUACUUAUUGGUGCAAAUGGAAAUGUGAAAAUAUUUAUUGCUAAAGUAAAAGUACAAUCUGUAUUGCUUAAUUAUGAUAAUCUAG